AUGGAGACAGGUAUUUUCCCUACAGCAAUCUUACAUAUUCUCAAUGAUUGGCAAAAUGCUGUUUCUAUCUAUCUAAAGGAUUCCUGGCUUUGCCAUGGUACCACCCUGGAGAACUUAAUCUUGGAGGCAUUAUUCACAUUUACCAAAGGGUCUACAUCAUCAGAUCAGAGAAAAAAGAGAUCCAGAGGGAUUUUCCCUCUCACAGUUCUUGGUUUCUCCAGAAAUUUUGGCACCCGAACACCUGAAUUUUGAAGACUUCACUUCUUAGUCCUUGCAGUGUUGUUUUAGAAAAGAGAUGAGGAAAUGCAGGUAUGGACACACAUCCAUAUCUGAUGCAAACAUAUACAGAAGAGGAAUUCCCACAAAAUAAAUAAAUUAAGAAAUUUAACA
RNAcentral lists this long non-coding RNA (390 nucleotides) under Anas platyrhynchos platyrhynchos (common mallard). RNAcentral describes it as "lncRNA (ENSAPLG00000022964.1)". The record is from RNAcentral. Lineage: Eukaryota; Metazoa; Chordata; Aves; Anseriformes; Anatidae.